UGAGUAACACGUGGGUAACCUGCCUGUAAGACUGGGAUAACUCCGGGAAACCGGAGCUAAUACCGGAUAGUUCCUUGAACCGCAUGGUUCAAGGAUGAAAGACGGUUUCGGCUGUCACUUACAGAUGGACCCGCGGCGCAUUAGCUAGUUGGUGAGGUAACGGCUCACCAAGGCGACGAUGCGUAGCCGACCUGAGAGGGUGAUCGGCCACACUGGGACUGAGACACGGCCCAGACUCCUACGGGAGGCAGCAGUAGGGAAUCUUCCGCAAUGGACGAAAGUCUGACGGAGCAACGCCGCGUGAGUGAUGAAGGUUUUCGGAUCGUAAAGCUCUGUUGUUAGGGAAGAACAAGUGCAAGAGUAACUGCUUGCACCUUGACGGUACCUAACCAGAAAGCCACGGCUAACUACGUGCCAGCAGCCGCGGUAAUACGUAGGUGGCAAGCGUUGUCCGGAAUUAUUGGGCGUAAAGGGCUCGCAGGCGGUUUCUUAAGUCUGAUGUGAAAGCCCCCGGCUCAACCGGGGAGGGUCAUUGGAAACUGGGAAACUUGAGUGCAGAAGAGGAGAGUGGAAUUCCACGUGUAGCGGUGAAAUGCGUAGAGAUGUGGAGGA
This 612-nucleotide ribosomal RNA is filed under the name uncultured bacterium. RNAcentral describes it as "bacterial SSU rRNA". It matches the Rfam family "Bacterial small subunit ribosomal RNA", at positions 107 to 705 of the family's 1533-position model. The record is from RNAcentral.